This 785-nucleotide ribosomal RNA is filed under the name Acinetobacter baumannii. RNAcentral describes it as "bacterial SSU rRNA". It matches the Rfam family "Bacterial small subunit ribosomal RNA", at positions 1 to 780 of the family's 1533-position model. Lineage: Bacteria; Pseudomonadati; Pseudomonadota; Gammaproteobacteria; Moraxellales; Moraxellaceae. The record is from RNAcentral.
UAACUGAAGAGUUUGAUCAUGGCUCAGAUUGAACGCUGGCGGCAGGCUUAACACAUGCAAGUCGAGCGGGGGAAGGUAGCUUGCUACCGGACCUAGCGGCGGACGGGUGAGUAAUGCUUAGGAAUCUGCCUAUUAGUGGGGGACAACAUCUCGAAAGGGAUGCUAAUACCGCAUACGUCCUACGGGAGAAAGCAGGGGAUCUUCGGACCUUGCGCUAAUAGAUGAGCCUAAGUCGGAUUAGCUAGUUGGUGGGGUAAAGGCCUACCAAGGCGACGAUCUGUAGCGGGUCUGAGAGGAUGAUCCGCCACACUGGGACUGAGACACGGCCCAGACUCCUACGGGAGGCAGCAGUGGGGAAUAUUGGACAAUGGGGGGAACCCUGAUCCAGCCAUGCCGCGUGUGUGAAGAAGGCCUUAUGGUUGUAAAGCACUUUAAGCGAGGAGGAGGCUACUCUAGUUAAUACCUAGGGAUAGUGGACGUUACUCGCAGAAUAAGCACCGGCUAACUCUGUGCCAGCAGCCGCGGUAAUACAGAGGGUGCGAGCGUUAAUCGGAUUUACUGGGCGUAAAGCGUGCGUAGGCGGCUUAUUAAGUCGGAUGUGAAAUCCCCGAGCUUAACUUGGGAAUUGCAUUCGAUACUGGUGAGCUAGAGUAUGGGAGAGGAUGGUAGAAUUCCAGGUGUAGCGGUGAAAUGCGUAGAGAUCUGGAGGAAUACCGAUGGCGAAGGCAGCCAUCUGGCCUAAUACUGACGCUGAGGUACGAAAGCAUGGGGAGCAAACAGGAUUA